RNAcentral lists this long non-coding RNA (1321 nucleotides) under Bos indicus x Bos taurus (hybrid cattle). RNAcentral's name for it is "lncRNA (ENSBIXG00005005640.1)". The record is from RNAcentral. Lineage: Eukaryota; Metazoa; Chordata; Mammalia; Artiodactyla; Bovidae.
AACUUUAGGAAGUUUAGCUAGGAAGGAGAGUUAAGAAAUAAUGUACUGGUUCUCCACCGGUCAAGGCUGGAGUCCUCCGUGUGGAGCAUUCACCCUCCCGGGGCACGGCUGGCCGCUUUCCUGAAAGCAGAUAUUUCCAUCUAAAUUCACCUGUGUCAGCGUGUUAUGAUGCCGUCUCGUACCAACCUGGCUACUGGAAUUCCCAGUAGCAAAGUGAAAGACUCUCUAGUACAGAUGAUGGCUACAUUGACCUUCAGUUUAAGAAAAGCCCUCCUAAGAUCCCAUAUAAGGCCAUUGCGCUCGCUACAGUGCUGUUUUUGAUUGGCGCCUUUCUCAUUAUCAUAGGCUCCCUCCUGCUGGCAGGCUAUAUCAGCAAAGGUGGGGGCAGACCGGGCCGUUCCUGUCCUGAUCAUUGGCAUCCUAGUGUUCCUGCCAGGAUUUUACCACCUGCGCAUCACCUACUAUGCAUCCAAAGGCUACCAGGGAUACUCCUAUGAUGACAUUCCAGACUUUGAUGACUAGCACCCACCCCAGCACUGAAGAAAAGAGUCACAGAUGGAACUGAGCCCAGCUUUAAGACAUUGAGCAGAAACUAUGACUAAGGGCUAAGGAGUUCUGCAGUUUGCAGAUGUUUAACAAAACAGUGGCCAGAUUUUAUGGGUCCAUCCUGAAAGAUGUUAACUAAGCUCACAAGUAACUGUCAUUUGGGCAUUCUCUUAUUUUUCAUUUUCUGGCCCUGGCAAAAAGCUCCUGACAAAGUUUUUCUGAAUGAAUAUGCAUCAUGGGAGAGUAGCAAUUAAUUGUAUGGUAAAGUGGGAGGUUAUUCUGUAGUGGAAAGUGUUCUGCCACCACCCUUUUUAGAGUUGAGCAUUCUUUUAAAUAGUCCUCAUGGUCAGAAUGUUCUUAUGGCAAAUGGAAGAAUGCGAUAUGUCAGAUUUCUUAUUACUAAGUAAUUUAUUUUGAAAAUAAGUGUCUUCUCCCCAUACUCUUUAACUUUGUGUUCCAGUGGAAGACCUUGGCACAAUCAAAUAUCAGUGUGGUGCAUCUAUAAUCUUUUUUACUUGCUUUCUUAUUAAAAACAACUAGGAAUUUUUUAAAUCUCAAAGCAGAUUUUCAAAAUGUAAACACUCUUCUCUGUACACCAAUCCUUGGCCAGCUCUGAUCUGGCCUACUGAUAGGUUGGCCAGCAUAUAAUUUGGAUCAUUCUGUCCUGUGUAGAUCAAAAUGUUCUUAUAUCAUACCUUUAUGGACUAGACUUUUGGCUGCUUCCUAAGGAAAAAAUGUAGAUGAAUGGUUAUUAUUUAGAGUUUAUAAUCCUGUU